Non-coding RNA from Xyrichtys novacula (pearly razorfish), 1617 nucleotides. Lineage: Eukaryota; Metazoa; Chordata; Actinopteri; Labriformes; Labridae. The record is from the annotation of a GenBank genome assembly.
UUGCACUGUUCACACUUACAUGAAAAAAUCUGAUAUGUGUCACAUAUGGUUAAAAAAUCAAAAUUCACCUGCAGUGUGAACAUAGCCUAAUAGUCUUGUUUGCUUUUGUAUAAUAUGAGAAGGCAUCAGUAUAAGUUUGGGGGCUCUAUUUUGGUGCUUCGCCGGAGACGUGCCGCAAGCGCAGAGUCAAUCAGAUCCGCCGCGCUGACAAGGCGUUCCCAAGCACAUUUUGGUAUUUUGGUGAGCCGCGCAGCCCGGCGUAAGUAUCCCCCCUCCCUAACUCAGCUCCUCCCGGCAGCAUAAAUCAUAGACGGGGAGGAGAGGGGGUUUAACACAGCCGAGACCUGUUUUCACCAAUCACAUUAGCUCCUCUCCUCGCCUUUAAAUCCGCCACAGGCGAGGCGUAUUACUAUUUUCAUGAAGUAGUCAAAGAGAUCAAGAGAUGUCUGAAGACAGUUAUGUCACACGAUGGCGACAGAAGGCAGCUGCUCAACAAGUGUCCUCCACACUCUCUCAUCUGAGCACAGAUGGAUUUGGUGUGCGUAAUGUUGGACCCACUGGUAAGACAAACACCCUUUUCCACAAAUAAAGACACUCACAUAAAGUUGCAUAUAUUCAAACCUCACGUGACAAAGGUGGGUUGAGCGCACAGAUCACAACAUAAACUCCAAAAAGGCAUUAAAAUCGGAACCAUCUGUGCGUAAAUGACGCAUCGCGCUCCGUGGCCUGGCUCUUUCUUUCAUAGAUGUUGGCAUAUAAAAUAAAUUUGGCUCACAAAACUGAAUAUUAUAAUAUCCGUAUGUCGGCUUAAAGUAGAUCACGCAUCUGAGCACUGAAACAAAUCAUCUGUUCAGCCGCAGCAGCAGCAGGAAGACGGACAGAGGACACGGAGACGUGUCCAGGUCGAGCUGUGCGAGAAAUAAGAGGAAGAAAGAAAAGGAGGGAGACACAUUACAUAUCUUGUUAACUUCAUCAUGUGCGUUUAUUUACUAGAUAUUUAAUUUAAUUUGAUGCAGUUUCAGCUGUAUUGAUUCGGUCAGGUUGUGUGUCCAAACGCGUGCCAAACGCGCUCAUCAGAUCAGAUAUAGAUCAGAAUAUAUCGAUAUAGAUCUAAAUGUAUGUGCUGACUCAGAUUAAUAGUUGUUGAUGAUUAUUUAUUGCACUGAAAUCUGCCUGACACUGUGGAAACCUGCCGGUGAGGCAUCAGUGACGUAUGUCGAUACGCUGCCGGUCUACCAAAAUACUACUGGACCAGCUGCGUUCCGCCUUGCGCUGAAAGCUGACCAGGUUUGAAUCGGCGAGCUUUCAGCGCACGUUACACGCCAGUGGCGAGCACGAAAAUGUCACUGCGCCAGCUGAUUCUGUCAACACCUCCCCCUGCCACGCCACCACGCCCAGCUUGGCGGAUCUCGGCUCGCCUCCGUGCGACUCAGUCCACGAAAAUACCAAACUCGCCUUACACCGGGCUCCGCCAGACGAAAAUACAACUGCGCGGGGCUCGCCGCCCUCCGCCGCCUCACCGGCGCGAACGAAAAUAGAGCCCUAAGUCUUUAUAUCUAUGUCAAAAAAAUUCCUCACAGGAGCUCAAAGUGUCCGAAUGUAUCAUUAAAGUUUCUG